GAUGAACGCUGGCGGCGUGCCUAAUACAUGCAAGUCGAGCGAACAGACGAGGAGCUUGCUCCUCUGACGUUAGCGGCGGACGGGUGAGUAACACGUGGAUAACCUACCUAUAAGACUGGGAUAACUUCGGGAAACCGGAGCUAAUACCGGAUAAUAUAUUGAACCGCAUGGUUCAAUAGUGAAAGACGGUUUUGCUGUCACUUAUAGAUGGAUCCGCGCCGCAUUAGCUAGUUGGUAAGGUAACGGCUUACCAAGGCAACGAUGCGUAGCCGACCUGAGAGGGUGAUCGGCCACACUGGAACUGAGACACGGGCCAGACUCCUACGGGAGGCAGCAGUAGGGAAUCUUCCGCAAUGGGCGAAAGCCUGACGGAGCAACGCCGCGUGAGUGAUGAAGGUCUUCGGAUCGUAAAACUCUGUUAUUAGGGAAGAACAAAUGUGUAAGUAACUAGGCACGUCUUGACGGUACCUAAUCAGAAAGCCACGGCUAACUACGUGC
This 498-nucleotide ribosomal RNA is filed under the name uncultured bacterium. Its description in RNAcentral is "partial 16S ribosomal RNA". It matches the Rfam family "Bacterial small subunit ribosomal RNA", at positions 28 to 508 of the family's 1533-position model. The record is from RNAcentral.